This 305-nucleotide ribosomal RNA is filed under the name uncultured bacterium. RNAcentral describes it as "bacterial SSU rRNA". It matches the Rfam family "Bacterial small subunit ribosomal RNA", at positions 335 to 656 of the family's 1533-position model. The record is from RNAcentral.
GUCCUACGGGACGCAGCAGUGGGGGAUAUUGCACAAUGGGGGAAACCCUGAUGCAGCGACGCCGCGUGAAGGAAGAAGGCUUUCGGGUUGUAAACUUCUUUUCAGAGGGAAGAGCAGAAGACGGUACCUCUUGAAUAAGCCACGGCUAACUACGUGCCAGCAGCCGCGGUAAUACGUAGGUGGCAAGCGUUGUCCGGAUUUACUGGGUGUAAAGGGCGUGCAGCCGGGAAGACAAGUCAGAUGUGAAAUCCCGCGGCUCAACCGCGGAACUGCAUUUGAAACUGUUUUUCUUGAGUACCGGAGAG